RNAcentral lists this ribosomal RNA (292 nucleotides) under uncultured eukaryote. RNAcentral describes it as "partial 18S ribosomal RNA". It matches the Rfam family "Eukaryotic small subunit ribosomal RNA", at positions 6 to 288 of the family's 1831-position model. The record is from RNAcentral.
GGUUGAUCCUGCCAGUAGCAUAUGCUUGUCUCAAAGAUUAAGCCAUGCAUGUCUAAGUAUAAACACCUUUAUACUGUGAAACUGCGUACAGCUCAUUACAUCAGUUAUUAUUUCCUUGAAUGUCACUUACUACAUGGAUACCCGUAGUAAUUCUAGAGCUAAUACAUGCGUAAAGUCCCGACUUAUCGGAAGGGAUGUAUUUAUUAGAUUUCCAAGCCAGCCGGUGAGGGGGGCAACCUCUUCACUCUCAUGGUGAUUCAUAGUAACUGUAGCGAAUCGCGGGUUUUCCCGC